This 1421-nucleotide long non-coding RNA is filed under the name Homo sapiens (human). RNAcentral's name for it is "HSALNT0366687". Lineage: Eukaryota; Metazoa; Chordata; Mammalia; Primates; Hominidae. The record is from RNAcentral.
CCGCCCCCUUCCAGGUUGUUGGGGUGGGAGCUGCCGGAUGAGCUGCUGCGGCCCUCGGGGCGCAGGACCACACCAUCUGCGCAGCCUGCACCCUCGCGGCCCGGUAAACUUGACAGUUUCUUAUAGAGCACAGAAGCCGUGGUGGUGUCAUGGAAUAUUGUCAAUUUCGGUUACAUUUCAUCAUGGUCAAGUCAACUCCAGGAGGCAGCAUCAUGGACGAUUUGGCUUAUGUUCUGCUUUUGUCUUCUACAGAACCUUGUGUCUCACUGUUGUCUCCUUCCUGGCUGGGGUUAUCACAUGGCAUAUCCAACUGUGCUGGAGAGUCAGAAUAGCUGAGUGACUGAGUGCACAAUCCCUAAAGUGCAAUUUAUGAGCUGAGUGACCUCAGGAUUCCAUGGAAAGCUUGUGUUUACCCUCAAUAGUUAGAGACGUACAAGGAUGGAGAGGGAACAGAGCCAUCUUCCCAGAACCAACUUCUGCCAGAGGAGUCCCAUGAUAAUCCCAGCCAAAAGAACGAAAACAUGAGUAAUGGCUGUGACAUAAGAAAAUCCUAAGAGAGAAAACAGAGAAAAAGUUUUACGUGAGCGCCACAUUCCAGUUUGCAGAGUUAAGAUAGAUGAGGACAUUCAUUAAAUUCAUGUAUUAAUUCUAAUUCAAGAUGCACUGAAUUUCCAUCAUGUGAAUCAGAUGUUUUAUUUAUUUCUCUCUCAUUGUAUGGAUAAUGUCUAUAACUAGAGAAUGAGACUCAAUCCUACCUUUUCUUCCAAACUGUCUAUCUUCACUAGGGUGGAGUUCUUGUCUAUGCAGUCCUUUCUACUGUUAGCCCAGGUUUUCUCCUCAUUUGUUGUAAAAUAGUAGCAACUAUUUUGGUACCAUUGCCACAUCUUAGGACAUGGAUUACAUCUGUGGUCUGAAAAGGAAAUUAUACCCAAUAAUAUAAACUGAAGACUCUAGAGUGACUGGAGAAGGCUUUGAAACAAAAUCAUGUAAUUGAACAAUAGGGACUGAGAGCCUGCACCCUGAAAGCAUACUGCUUUAGAAGCCUCUGAAAAAAAAGUGACCCCUGGUUAUGGGUUGGGGCAACAGGGAUUCUCUUUUCAUGGCUUAGUCUUCUGACCUCAGAAUUACCAGCUAUGCCUUUAAGCUUUCAGAGCAACAUGAUCACCUAGAAAUAGUUAAUAAAAUGAGGGGUUGAAGUAUCCAGAUUGAUAUCAUUCCAAGAUACUUCCCAAAUUUGCCUGUGGUUUCAAAAAUAUUAAAUGAAUUUGUAUAUUUCCUUGCUGUGUGUAAAUUUAGUGCAACAUCAUUAAGGUUCACUGGAUGACAUAACUCUCUCAAUACUCUUAGGUGGUACAUGUGAUCAACUUAGACCAGGAUAACAUAUGCCAUCUGACUGGUCAGCAGGACUAAGUCUGAUUACC